RNAcentral lists this long non-coding RNA (273 nucleotides) under Salvia miltiorrhiza (redroot sage). RNAcentral's name for it is "long non-coding RNA (SMIL_LNC010203)". The record is from RNAcentral. Lineage: Eukaryota; Viridiplantae; Streptophyta; Magnoliopsida; Lamiales; Lamiaceae.
UUUCUUUUGGACACGGUUAUUAAGGAGAGUUAAAUUAGUGUAGUAAAAGUGUGUAAAGGUGUGAGACCACAUUGAUUUGUAGUGUAAAAUUAUUAUCUCAAAUAGACACAUUCAUUUGGAAUAUUAAAGAAUAUUUUUUAUCCAUAUAAUAACUUAAAAUUACAAUCUAUAAAAUAAAUAAAAAAUUAAUUAAUAUCAAAAUUAAAAAUAAAGAACAUAAAAUAAAAUAAAAAAGAAAGAUGAAAAAAUGAAGAUAAAAUAGAGAUAAAACAC